UCUCAACCACUUAAACUCCCAUGGCAGUUUCCAGCAGCUCCCCGUUUUUCUGCCCACGUCUGGUAACCUCCAAAUACCCUUCCUGUCUCCCCUUUUUCCUCCUCACGUCGCAGGUAGCCUUCAUAUACCCUUCCUCUUGUAGACAUCUGAUAUAUACACAGACAAAUAGCUUUCAUCAAUCCUUAUCUCAAACCUUCAUUCAAUCACAACCUGAUGUUAUACACCCCAACUUUCGUGCUCUUUCUCUAAGUUAAUCGUCAAUCGCUUGCGGAAAUCCAUAUCGGCUUCGUCAAUCUUCUUGAUAAUGUGUAUAUUUUAUCUAAUAAAUUCCACAUCUGCAAUGUAACACUGCAAAACUGAUGAUUGAAGGGCUGUGAUUUAAUCCUCUGUUCUAGACUCAUCAAGUGCGUUUAUGAAGGAGGUUGAAAUCUUUUAUAAAGAGAGGUGUUUGGGGUUUAAGCCUCCAAAGUUUUAUGGAGAGCCACUCAAUGCCUUAAGUUAUGGAGAUCGUUGAUCAGGCUCGGUGGCUAUGAACAGGUGACCUCUUAAAAGAUGUGGCGACAAAUUGGAGAAACAUUUAAACCCCUAAGACUUGUACUACUAUCUCAUGGACAUUCCGAGUUUUUUACAAGAAGGGGUGCGGACGAAAAUAUCCAAGGGGUGCGGUCGGACUUUUUCAAGGGGUGCAGUCGGGAUUUUUCGCGAAAAAUACCACUAAAAAUUAUUUUUUUCAAGGGGUGCAGCCGCCCACCCAACCCAUAAGGUGAGUCCGCCACUGCGUGUGAAUUAAUAAUGACAAAACACGAAAACACGGCACGAAUCUAACACGGAAUUCAUUGGUUUGUUUUUAGUCUAAAUGGGCCCGAUUUUGUUUAUGGUGGAACUCGCGAACACGUUUAGCUAAACAGGAUGGUCCAGGCCAACUGGUGGGUGGUUGACCCAUUUAUUGUAUAUAUAUUUUGUGCCAUAACUUAAACUGGUUGGGUAUUUUGUUCCAAAAUUUAAAAGGUUAAAAAGAGAAACGAGUAUCACGUUUUAUAAUUUAAACGUAAUUGUUUUUGUACAUAUUUGUAUUUUUGGUUGCAAGUUAGUUGCAAUUUUAGUGUAUAAUAUGCAAAAAACGUGUAAUCCGUGAUUUAAAGGGCCGUGUUUGUAACAACCCAUGAAUACGCGUGUCAUGAGUCAUGUUUGAGUUCAUGUGUUGUAACAACCCAUGGAUACGCGUGUCAUGACUCAUGUUUGAGUUUGUAUUUUGUAUUUGAGUAAAUCUUUGGGUUUGUGUCGGGGUUAACCCGUCAACCCAUGAGCACAAACGGUUAGCACCCAUACAUCUUGGUGAAAGUCUACUGAUUCUCGCUUUAUAUUUGACUUGAAUAUCAAAGUUUGCUGAAUUUAUCUUUUAGGUUCACGUUCAUUAUCAAAUCGCUGGCACAAAAGUUUGCAAGCGCUGCUUGAUUACGAGAAAUAUAAGAGUAGCAUCGGGGAGCUUCCGUUCACUCAUUGAUGUCUCUUCUGCAGAACCUGUUUCGAUGGGGAUAAAGUCGACCUCAUAACUACUCCUAGCAGUCUGGAGCUGGAAGACGAUGACAUUGGUGCUUAAUACGAGUUCAUGUACAAACAAUGAAUUUGUAAUUGUUUAUUGGUGUUUAUAGUUCCAUGCGCCGCAGCUCCGCCUACCCUCCUCCAUGUUUCGAUGGUGCUCUUCUUCUGGUACGGCGAUUCUGCUCUACUCAAAACUUAUAUGAAAAAUGCUUUUGUGGUGAGUUUUGUCAUAAAUCUUUCAUGGUUCAUGUGUAUCAGCGAGAUUUAGUUUUAUAUAUCUCUGAUUAGACACACAUUAU
This is a long non-coding RNA of Helianthus annuus (common sunflower), 1841 nucleotides long. RefSeq lists it as uncharacterized. Lineage: Eukaryota; Viridiplantae; Streptophyta; Magnoliopsida; Asterales; Asteraceae. The transcript has 6 exons. The record is from RefSeq and is a predicted model, not a curated record.